Macaca fascicularis (crab-eating macaque) is the source of this 1816-nucleotide long non-coding RNA. The record is from Ensembl. NCBI's taxonomy places the organism in Eukaryota, Metazoa, Chordata, Mammalia, Primates, Cercopithecidae.
AGAACAUCUCGAGGGGCGAGGCCCGAUUACUUGAAACAUCUUGCAUAACUGCAGUGCAAUAUCAAAACCAGGAACUUGACAUUGAUGCUAUCUACAGAACUUAUUCAAAUUCCACCAGCAAGGAGACAAUCUGAAAGACUUAUUGGUAGAAUUUGGGUUGAACAGAUGUGCUCCGUAGGUGUCCUAGUCCUGAAGCCCAGAGUGAGUCAAAAGUACCGGAGUUGGAGAUUCCUGCUGCAAACAUUUCCAUCCCCACCUGGGAGCCUGCCUUCCUGACAGUCCAGGCCCUUCGGCAGUAAGAAGGACCCUCUGAGAAGAGCGGUCGCUGCAGAGGCUGGAUGACAGACAGACACACCCACAAUCUUGGGGGAGGAAAUGGAUCCAGUCAGAGAGCAAAUGGAGCGGCCUCAUUUCCUUCCCUUUUGUCCUUUGCGGGAAACUGACAUUGACUCAGCUGUGAGCAGUGGGGUAGGGAGGGGUGUGAGGGGGUGUCUAGAGCAUCCUGAGGCUUGCCCUCCCUAUCUUGCUACUUAGGACUGUGGGCCCAGCCAUAAACCACUUUCUCCACCAUCUCGAGAGAAAGUUACACUUUAAAAAAAUUUUAUCUAUAUAUUUAUUUUGAGACAGAGUCUCGCCGUGUUGCCCAGGCUGGAAUGCAAUGGUAUGAUCUUGGCUCGCUGCAACUUCCGCCUGCCAGGCUCAAAUUAUCCUUCUGCCUCAAUCGAUCUUCCUGCCUCAGCCUCCCAAGUAGCUAGGACUACAGGCAUGCACCAUCACACCCAGCUAAUUUUUGUGUAUGUGUUUUGUAGGGACAAGGUUUCACCAUGUUGCUCAGGCUGGUCUCGAACUCCUGAGCUCAAGUGAUCCUCCCACCUCAACCUCCCAAAGUGCUGGGAUUACAGGCAUGAGCCACCAAGCCUGGCCAAAGAUGCACUUUUAAGAAGAAUUUCAUUUACCAAGCAUUUUGCAUGUGACAUGUAUUGAUCCAGGAGCAUUUUUUAAAUAAAGAGAAUCUCACUGUGUCACCCAGGCUGGAGGGCAGUGGCGCGAUCACAACUGAUUGCAGCCUGAAAUUCCUGGGCUCAAAUAAUCCUCCCACCACAGCCUCCCAAGUAGCUGGGACCAUAGGUGCUGACCACCAAGCCCAGCUAAUUUUUGAAUUUUCUGUAGAGACAGGGUCUUGCUAUGUUGCCCAGGCUGGUCUCUAGAACUCCUGGCCUCAAGCAACCCUCCUGCCCUCAUCCUCCCAAAUUGCUGGGAUUACAGGAGUGAGCCACUGCACCCGUCUGAUCCAGGAGCUUUGCAUUUCAUUUCCCUUGCUCACAUUCCCUUCCCACAGAUGAGGAGACUGAUGCUGUAGGAAGUUAAGUGACUUUCCCAAGGUCACAUGGGUGGAGAGUGAGCCUGGAGACUAAUACAUGUCCUGUCUGGCUGCCAUCUGUGGAUGUGGGGCCAGAGGAAAAAAGAGUAGCCUCUUUUUGUACAGCUCGGUUGAGGCUACCAAAUUCUUUCACAUCCUUGAAUUCAGUUGGCUUUUAAGACAGGCCAUGUUAUAACUUUAAUUUUUAAGCAGGUGGAGAGAAACACUAGGCUUACAUCAAAUAAUAUGCCCAAGGUCAACAAGGAAGCAAGGGAAAUAACCCAGAGUCAAACCCAGGUCUACUACACUCAGGAUCCGUACUCGGGCAGGGCACUGUGGCUCAUUCCUAUAAUCCCAGCACUUUGGGAGGCUGAGGAAGGAGAACCACUUGAGCCCAGGAAUUAGAGACCAGCCUGGCCAACAUAGUGAGACCCCAUCUCUACAAAAUAAAAAAAA